GUCUCUGGGAGACUUCCAACUGGGAAUCUCCCGCUGAGGCCACACCUCUAGAUUAGGUUAGUGGCCCCUGAUCCACGCCGCUCCAGCAUUCUGCCAUGAGAAACCUCACUCUGCUGCAGCUUUAUCUUCUAAAUGACGUGCUGAGAACACCCACGAAACUGCAAUACCGGCUAAUCAGCCCCAGCUUCUUCAGAAAGGCUUCUGCUUGUGACUCCAUGAUCUGUAGCUUAUACACUUCACUCUCCUUCCAGUUUUCAAGUACGGAUACCUGCCAGUAGAUCAGAAGACAUAUGAGUAUUUUACAAAUGACAGCCUGAAACUAUUUUAAAGGUUAAAACUUAAACAUUCAAACCACUUUCCCAUUUCUCCUUAAAUGAAGCAUGACAGAAUCAUCAGAACUUGAUUGUAUCAUAGGUGAACAUGAAUUAGACUUUGAGAUUUGAAAACAGAACAAAAUGACAUCACAAAUGCAUACCUUCCAUGAUCCUUUUUGCAGAUAUGAAUAACUGUACAUGGCUUUCUGCUUAAGCUAUAUAUAAGCACAGAGCCAGGUUAACUGCAUGUGUACACGAGUGUGCAUUACCUAUGGUCCUGCAGCAGAAUAACCCUUAAUAAAGGCUGCAUCCUCUGCAAGUUUAGAAAAGCCUCAGAGAAGCUGUUCUCGGCAAGGGCAUCAAAAGCUUCGGGGUAUGCUUUUAAGAUUUUAGACUCUCUGUGGCUUCCCCACAAACCAACUGGCCAUUUUUGUGAGAAUCACUGCAGGAAAUGUAAAAUGGCCUCAUGGUCCAAAUGAUCCAUUAAAUAGCCUUUUAAUCCAGGUGUCAGUAAACUUGACAGGGCCCACCAGGCAAACCUGCUUACCAAACGGUGGUGUGAAUUAAACAAGCUCAGGAAUACGGAUGCUGGUGUAGGACCCAAAAAGUAUUCAUACUUUGGCUCUUUUUCCUUUCCUGUCCUUAGAAGCAGGUGCAUAGUCAAUUCUUAAUUGAAAAGCCUAAUGUUUGCAGACUGUAUAAACUAAGUCUUUUCUUACUUUACCAGAAUAAUCACAGACACAUAUGCCAAUAAAUAUCAUUUGUUUCUCAGCUACAGAAACA
This 1097-nucleotide long non-coding RNA is filed under the name Homo sapiens (human). Its description in RNAcentral is "TTC3 antisense RNA 1". Lineage: Eukaryota; Metazoa; Chordata; Mammalia; Primates; Hominidae. The record is from RNAcentral.